AUGAUCUAUAUGUAAGUCCUGCAGGUUUUAUUUGAUCAUGACCUCAAUUUCACGGUUCAUUGCACAGUGUUAAGUUUUUGUGUUUUGGUCUGUUUUUCUCAAACUAUAAGUAAUAGGUCAACUAUAUUUGUUGUAUGGAAGCAUUGUUAGCUGUACAUGUCUGCCUGGCAUGGUUCAUCUGACCUUAACCUCAUUUUCAUGGUUCAUUGGUCUUUUGUUUAGCUAUCUUGGUUAAUGUUAAGUUUAUGUGGCAGUUGUAAUAAAGCUUUAUACUUACGACUAUCAACAUAAUAUCAAUGAUUGGUAAAGAAGGCGAGACAUUUCAGUGUGUGCACUCUUGUUUAUACAACCGCAAAAAAUAAAAAAUUUUUGGUCGUAUAUUGGUUUCUCGUUGUCGUCGUCCUUGUCAUUGUGGUCGUCGUCGUUGUCGUCUUUGUGGUGGUGGUGGUGGUCGUCAUCCGAAUACUUUUAGUUUUCGCACUAUAACUUUAGUUUAAGUGAAUAGAAAUCUAUGAAAUUUUGGCACAAGGUUUAUGACCACAAAAGGAAGGUUAGGAUUGAGUUUGGAAGUUUUAAUUCCAACUGUUUAGGAAUAAGGUGCCAAAAAGGGCCCAAAUAAGCAUUAUUCUUGGUUUUCGCACAAUAACUUUAGUAUAGGUAAAUAGAAAUCAAUGAAAUUUAAACACAAGGUUUAUGAAUACAAAAGGAAGGUUGGGAUUGAUUUUAGGAGUUGAGAUUCCAACAGUUUAGGAAUUAGGGGCCAAAAAGGGGCCCAAAUAAGCAUUUUUCUUGGUUUUCGCACCAUAACUUUAGUAUAAGUAAAUAGAAAUCUAUGAAAUUUAAACACAAGGUUUAUGACCAUAAAAGGAAGGUUGGAAUUGAUUUUGGGAGUUUUGGUACUAACAGUUUAGGAAUAAGGGGCCAAAAGGGUCCAAAAUUAAACUUUGUUUGAUUUCAUCAAUAAUUGAA
This 969-nucleotide long non-coding RNA is filed under the name Mytilus galloprovincialis (Mediterranean mussel). The record is from RNAcentral. Lineage: Eukaryota; Metazoa; Mollusca; Bivalvia; Mytilida; Mytilidae.